AGAGUUUGAUCAUGGCUCAGGAUGAACGCUGGCGGCGCGCUUAACACAUGCAAGUCGAACGAGAAAGCUCCUUCGGGAGUGAGUACAGUGGCGAACGGGUGCGUAACACGUUGGUGACCUGCCUUGAGGAGGGGGACAACCGUGGGAAACCACGGCUAAUACCCCGGAUGUCUAAACUGUUAGAGGGUUUAGACUAAAACUUCGGUGCCUCAAGAGGGGCCUGCGGGCUAUCAGCUUGUUGGUGGGGUAAUGGCCUACCAAGGCUAAGACGGCUAGGGGGCGUGAGAGCGCGACCCCCCACAAUGGAACUGAGACACGGUCCAUACUCCUACGGGAGGCAGCAGUGAGGAAUAUUGCGCAAUGGGGGAAACCCUGACGCAGCAACGCCGCGUGAACGAUGAAGGCCUUCGGGUCGUAAAGUUCUUUUCUAAGGGAAGAUAGUGACGGUACCUUAGGAAUAAGUCCCGGCUAACUACGUGCCAGCAGCCGCGGUAAAACGUAGGGGGCGAGCGUUAUCCGGAUUUAUUGGGCGUAAAGCGCACGUAGGUGGCGCUGUAAGUUAGAACGUGAAAGCUCUCGGCUCAACUGAGAGAGGUCGUUUAAAACUGCAGUGCUGAGUUGAA
This 623-nucleotide ribosomal RNA is filed under the name uncultured bacterium. Its description in RNAcentral is "bacterial SSU rRNA". It matches the Rfam family "Bacterial small subunit ribosomal RNA", at positions 8 to 650 of the family's 1533-position model. The record is from RNAcentral.